GUAAGGAAUAUUGGACAAUGGACGCAAGUCUGAUCCAGCCAUGCCGCGUGAAGGAUUAAGGUCCUCUGGAUUGUAAACUUCUUUUAUAAGGGACGAAAAAAGGCUUUUCUAAGUCGUCUGACGGUACCUUAUGAAUAAGCACCGGCUAACUCGGUGCCAGCAGCCGCGGUAAUACGGAGGGUGCAAGCGUUAUCCGGAUUCACUGGGUUUAAAGGGUGCGUAGGCGGGCAGGUAAGUCAGUGGUGAAAUCCUAGAGCUUAACUCUAGAACUGCCAUUGAUACUAUCUGUCUUGAAUAUUGUGGAGGUAAGCGGAAUAUGUCAUGUAGCGGUGAAAUGCUUAGAUAUGACAUAGAACACCUAUUGCGAAGGCAGCUUACUACGCAUAUAUUGACGCUGAGGCACGAAAGCGUGGGGAUCAAACAGGAUUAGAAACCCCUGUAGUCC
This 445-nucleotide ribosomal RNA is filed under the name uncultured bacterium. Its description in RNAcentral is "partial 16S ribosomal RNA". It matches the Rfam family "Bacterial small subunit ribosomal RNA", at positions 354 to 796 of the family's 1533-position model. The record is from RNAcentral.